AUUUCCUGUCAGGUUCCUCCCAUGGCAGAAGGUUCUUAGCGAGGUGCCAGACUAACACCACCACCUAUUUUGGGCAGCAAUCACAAAGGUGACAAAGGCAAUUACUUCAAUUCAUUUUUGUGUGAACCACUGCUGUACUCUACAAAGAAAAACAAGUGGAAUACAACAACACAAUGACUCUCGGUUUAGUGCCAGAAGAUGGGUCCCUCAUGUCCUUCACUCAUCUCGAGUACAGGUUGCAUGUAUGGCAUGGCUAGGCCACAGACUAUUAAAUGCCUAGUUUCUGAGGUUAACAAGCAAAGAUAAUUCAAAGCUGCUCAAAUAAAAUUACAAUUGGACCUUGGAAUGUUUCAAGUAUGAAUCAUAGCAAGCUGGAAAUCAUGAACAUGGAAGUGGAAUGUCUACACAUCAGCAUCAUUGGGAUCAUAUACUGAAAUGGACAGGAUUAGAACACUUUCAAUUAGAAGAAUACACUAUCUACAAAAUCACUUAGAUCAUAACCAAGGAAAAGAAGAAAUGGACUGGCUUUUAUCAUCAACAAACUGUUGAUGCUUAUGGGAGGCUGGGACUUAGGGAAAUAAUGUUGAACAACACUGCCUUGGAGAACGACUAAUAAACUUUUGUGCCCAAAAACAUCCUGUUAAGUAAUGUGUGUUUGCCCGGUGAUGGACUGGCGACCUGUCAUGGGUGUUUCCUACCUUUUGCCCAGUGAAUCGGAACCACUGCAACUCUGAAGAGGAUAAAGCGGUGGUAAAACAGACAAUGAAUGAAUUAUACAUAGGAGUUUUGGAGACGUCUGGAGUAGAGUAUUAUUAAUAAUAAUACUGUAAUAAAAUAAUAAUAAUAGAA
Molecule: long non-coding RNA, 849 nt
Organism: Trichomycterus rosablanca
Lineage: Eukaryota; Metazoa; Chordata; Actinopteri; Siluriformes; Trichomycteridae
Exons: 2
Source: RefSeq, a predicted model, not a curated record